UUACAAUCGAUUGUUUUUGUCCAGUAAGGUUAAAACGUUUCAACUCUCUUAAGUUUCAGCGAAUGUUAGUUGUUUUAAAGUCCAUCAAUUCUUAUAAUAUGGAAUUGUCCUAUCUUGUAAACAACGAUUAACAUUCAAGUGUUACAUAUCAAAUAUGCAACACAUUAAGUCGAGAUUCAUAAAAUGGCUUAAGGACCUAAAGUUUAUA
Molecule: long non-coding RNA, 208 nt
Filed under: Nicotiana benthamiana
Lineage: Eukaryota; Viridiplantae; Streptophyta; Magnoliopsida; Solanales; Solanaceae
Description: long non-coding RNA (NBEN_LNC035365)
Source: RNAcentral